GCGCUUGUAGUUCAACGGAUAGAAUACGACUCUCCGAAGGUCGUGAUUUGAGUUCGAUUCUCAACAGGCGUA
Molecule: transfer RNA, 72 nt
Filed under: bacterium
Lineage: Bacteria
Description: tRNA-Arg
Rfam family: tRNA
About the family: Transfer RNA (tRNA) molecules are approximately 80 nucleotides in length. Their secondary structure includes four short double-helical elements and three loops (D, anti-codon, and T loops). Further hydrogen bonds mediate the characteristic L-shaped molecular structure. tRNAs have two regions of fundamental functional importance: the anti-codon, which is responsible for specific mRNA codon recognition, and the 3' end, to which the tRNAs corresponding amino acid is attached (by aminoacyl-tRNA synthetases). tRNAs cope with the degeneracy of the genetic code in two manners: having more than one tRNA (with a specific anti-codon) for a particular amino acid; and 'wobble' base-pairing, i.e. permitting non-standard base-pairing at the 3rd anti-codon position.
Source: RNAcentral